GACGAACGCUGGCGGCGUGCCUAAUACAUGCAAGUCGAACGCACUCUCGUUUAGAUUGGAGGAGCUUGCUCCUGAUUGAUAAACAUUUGAGUGAGUGGCGGACGGUGAGUAACACGUGGGUAACCUGCCCUAAAGUGGGGGAUAACAUUUGGAAACAGAUGCUAAUACCGCAUAAAACCUAACACCGCAUGGUGUAGGGUUGAAAGAUGGUUUCGGCUAUCACUUUAGGAUGGACCCGCGGUGCAUUAGUUAGUUGGUGAGGUAAAGGCUCACCAAGACCGUGAUGCAUAGCCGACCUGAGAGGGUAAUCGGCCACACUGGGACUGAGACACGGCCCAGACUCCUACGGGAGGCAGCAGUAGGGAAUCUUCCACAAUGGACGAAAGUCUGAUGGAGCAACGCCGCGUGAGUGAAGAAGGUUUUCGGAUCGUAAAACUCUGUUGUUGGAGAAGAAUGUAUCUGAUAGUAACUGAUCAGGUAGUGACGGUAUCCAACCAGAAAGCC
This 504-nucleotide ribosomal RNA is filed under the name uncultured bacterium. RNAcentral's name for it is "bacterial SSU rRNA". It matches the Rfam family "Bacterial small subunit ribosomal RNA", at positions 28 to 492 of the family's 1533-position model. The record is from RNAcentral.